This 740-nucleotide ribosomal RNA is filed under the name Salmonella enterica subsp. enterica serovar Corvallis. RNAcentral's name for it is "partial 23S ribosomal RNA". It matches the Rfam family "Bacterial large subunit ribosomal RNA", at positions 1 to 1221 of the family's 2925-position model. Lineage: Bacteria; Pseudomonadati; Pseudomonadota; Gammaproteobacteria; Enterobacterales; Enterobacteriaceae. The record is from RNAcentral.
CCACCACUAAGCCAGUGGUGAACUCCACAUACGCAUCCUUUGCUGAGGAUACGGUUAACGGAGCGAAAGCGACGUUCAACCGCAAAACAAGCAGAGGGGGCUUAGUGGUGGGGUGACUGCGUACCUUUUGUAUAAUGGGUCAGCGACUUAUAUUCUGUAGCAAGGUUAACCGAAUAGGGGAGCCGGAGGGAAACCGAGUCUUAACCGGGCGUUAAGUUGCAGGGUAUAGACCCGAAACCCGGUGAUCUAGCCAUGGGCAGGUUGAAGGUUGGGUAACACUAACUGGAGGACCGAACCGACUAAUGUUGAAAAAUUAGCGGAUGACCUGUGGCUGGGGGUGAAAGGCCAAUCAAACCGGGAGAUAGCUGGUUCUCCCCGAAAGCUAUUUAGGUAGCGCCUCGUGAAUUCAUCUCCGGGGGUAGAGCACUGUUUCGGCUAGGGGGCCAUCCCGGCUUACCAACCCGAUGCAAACUGCGAAUACCGGAGAAUGUUAUCACGGGAGACACACGGCGGGUGCUAACGUCCGUCGUGAAGAGGGAAACAACCCAGACCGCCAGCUAAGGUCCCAAAGUCAUGGUUAAGUGGGAAACGAUGUGGGAAGGCCCAGACAGCCAGGAUGUUGGCUUAGAAGCAGCCAUCAUUUAAAGAAAGCGUAAUAGCUCACUGGUCGAGUCGGCCUGCGCGGAAGAUGUAACGGGGCUAAACCAUGCACCGAAGCUGCGGCAGCGACACUCAGGUGU